CUGCUCAGUAACACGUGGACAACCUGCCCUGAGGACUGGCACCAAUAAUCCCGGGAAACUGGGGGUAAUUCCAUAUGUCAGAACUCCUGGAAUGGGUUCUGGCAGAAAGCACCGCUCCGGCGCCUCAGGAUGGGUCUGCGGCCUAUCAGGAGGGUAGUAGUGGGUGUAACGUACCUACUAGCCUACGACGGGUACGGGUUGUGAGAGCAGGAAGAGCCCGGAGAUCACCGGAUUCUGAGACAUGAAUCCAGGCCCUACGGGGUGCAGCAGGCGCGACACCAAACUUUACACGACGGGCAACCGCGAUAAGGGGACCUCGAGUGCUGGGUUACAAAGGACCUGGCUGUUGGGCUGCCUAAAAAGCAGUCUAUAGCAAGGAGGGCCGGGCAAGACCGGUGCCAGCCGCCGCACACCCAGACACCGGCGGCUCGAGUGGUAACCGCUAUUAUUGGGUCUAAAGGGUCUAGGGUAGCCGGCCGACUAAGUCUCUUGGGAAAUCUGGCAUCUCAAGUGUCAGGCUGCCAGGGGAUACUGGUCGGCUUGGAGGACCGGGAGAGGUGAGAGGUACCUCGGGGGUAGGGGUGAAAUCUUGUAAUCCUCGGACAGUGGCGAAGGCGUCUCACCAGAACGGAUCCGACGGCAAGGGACGAAAGCUAGGGGAGCACGAACCGGAUUAGAUACCCGGGUAGUCCUAGCCGUAAACGAUACUCGCUAGGUGUCGGCCACGGUGCGACCGUGGUCGGUGCCGUUUGGCGGGGGAGC
Molecule: ribosomal RNA, 762 nt
Filed under: uncultured Methanosaeta sp.
Lineage: Archaea; Methanobacteriati; Methanobacteriota; Methanomicrobia; Methanotrichales; Methanotrichaceae
Description: bacterial SSU rRNA
Rfam family: Archaeal small subunit ribosomal RNA
Source: RNAcentral